Molecule: ribosomal RNA, 764 nt
Filed under: Armigeres malayi
Lineage: Eukaryota; Metazoa; Arthropoda; Insecta; Diptera; Culicidae
Description: eukaryotic LSU rRNA
Rfam family: Eukaryotic large subunit ribosomal RNA
Source: RNAcentral
ACUCCUUCUAAAGCUAAAUAUCACCACGAGACCGAUAGCGAACAAGUACCGUGAGGGAAAGUUGAAAAGCACUCUGAAUAGAGAGUCAAAAAGUACGUGAAACUGCCUAGGGCUCAAGCCCGUUGAACUCGAUUAUCCGAGCGGAGACAUUCACCUGCGGGCCAUCGUACCCGCAGGGCACUUGUCUCUCCCGCGCACGAGGACACUGCGAUCCAUUACGAAACAGCUUUCGCGUCGCAAGACGCGCAGGUCGCCCGACAGUUGCCCCCUGGUGCUCGGUUGCUUGCCCCACAGUAGCGACGCUCAGUUCUGAAGGCCUGUGCCGCGAGGUGGGGCUUACUGCACGUGGUGUGCAGUCGGGCGCGUGAUGGAUUCCCACAGUACGACGCGGUGCGCUCCCUUCGCGCCACCGCGGACCGUCGAUCGGCAGUGAAAGAAUCGAGGUACCUCCGGGACCCGUCUUGAAACACGGACCAAGAAGUCUAUCUUGCGCGCGAGCCAAUGGUCGUGUCUCCUUGAGCACCAAAGGCGCAGAAAACAUAACUUGCCUGUUGUGCGGGAUUACGGGCGCGGCUCUCUGCUCGUCCCUCCAUCCCCGGGUGUUGUAGCCGGCAUGCGGGGCCGGGGUUGCGUUCACGCGCGCCCCGGCACCGUGCCACAACAUACCGCGAGUGUGCAGGAUGUGACCCGAAAGAUGGUGAACUAUGCCUGAUCAGGUUGAAGUCAGGGGAAACCCUGAUGGAGGACCGAAGCAGUUCUGACGU